AUGAGGAUUCGGGGGCUGGCGAUGAGCGGCGGCAGGGAGGUGGCCAUCUCCGCCGUCUUCACGGCGCUCCUCGUCGUCUCCAUCCUCUUUCUCCCCUCGGUCCUGCUCACCAGCGGCAGGCUCGGCCCAUCGUCCGCCAAGGAGUGGCCGUUCCUCGCGGCGGCCAAGGACGGCGGCGGCUACCCGGUGUCGUUCGCGUACCUCAUCUCUGCGUCGACGGGGGACGCGGAGCGAGCGGCAAGGCUGCUGGCGGCGCUGUACCACCCGGCCAACAGCUACCUGCUGCACCUGGACCGUGAGGCCCCCGCCGAGGAGCACCGCCGGCUGGCUGGGCUGGUGUCCGGGCAGCCCGUGUACGGGCGCGUGGGGAACGUGUGGAUCGUGGGGAAGCCCAACCUGGUCACCUACCGCGGGCCGACCAUGCUGUCCACCACUCUCCACGCCAUGGCGGUGCUCCUCCGCGUGGGCCGCCGCUGGGACUGGUUCGUCAACCUCAGCGCCUCCGACUAUCCGCUCGUCACCCAGGACGAUUUGAUGGAGGCCUUCUCGCGGCUGCCGAGGGAUCUCAACUUCAUACAGCACACCAGCCACCUGGGCUGGAAGAUAAAGAAGCGGGCGCGGCCGGUGAUCCUGGACACGGCGCUGUACGAGGCCGACCGGUCGGAGCUCCUCCGCCCGUCGCCCAACAUCACCACCAACCGCCGGGGACUUCCCACCGCCUUCAAGCUCUUCACCGGGUCGGCGUGGACGAUGCUGUCGCGGCGCUUCGCGGAGUACUGCGUGGUGGGGUGGGACAACCUGGCGCGGACGCUGCUGCUCUACCACGCCAACCUCGUCUCCUCGCCGGAGUUCUACUUCCAGACGGUGGCCUGCAACUCCCGCGAGUUCCGGAACGCCACCGUCAACAGUGACCUGCAUUUCAUCCGGUGGGACACGCCGCCCAAGCAGCACCCGCUCUACCUCGGCCCCAAGGACUACCGCCGGAUGGUGCUCAGCAGCGCCGCCUUCGCCCGCAAGUUCAGGGACGCCGACCUCGUGCUCGACAGGAUCGACCGGGAGAUCCUCAAGCGCCGACCGCCGCCCCGCGACGACAACGACGAUCACGCCGAUCACGCUGCCUCUGCCUCUGCUGCUAGGCACGGCGGGCAGUUCUUCAGCUACGGCGGGUGGUGCUCCGAGGGGGUGGUGGGGCUGUGCUCCAACCCCUGGGAACCCAGCAGGAAGGGGGCCAUCAAGCCCGGCGCUGGGUCAAGAAGGCUCAGGGUCAUGCUCAACAAGAUGUUGUCCGGAAGAAACUUCAGGAAGCAGCAGUGUAGAUGA
This 1320-nucleotide ribosomal RNA is filed under the name Triticum aestivum (bread wheat). RNAcentral describes it as "partial small subunit ribosomal RNA". The record is from RNAcentral. Lineage: Eukaryota; Viridiplantae; Streptophyta; Magnoliopsida; Poales; Poaceae.